GACGGAGGAUGCAAGCGUUAUCCGGAAUGAUUGGGAGUAAAGCGUUCGCAGGUGGCUGUUCAAGUCUGCUGUCAAAGACCGGGGCUUAACCCUAGAAAGGCAGUGGAACCUGAACGGCUGGAGUGCAGUAGGGGUAGAGGGAAUUCCCAGUGUAGCGGUGAAAUGCGUAGAGAUUGGGAAGAACACCGGUGGCGAAAGCGCUCUGCUGGACUGCAGCUGACACUGAGGGACGAAAGCUAGGGGAGCGAAAGGG
RNAcentral lists this ribosomal RNA (253 nucleotides) under uncultured bacterium. Its description in RNAcentral is "partial 16S ribosomal RNA". It matches the Rfam family "Bacterial small subunit ribosomal RNA", at positions 524 to 776 of the family's 1533-position model. The record is from RNAcentral.